Long non-coding RNA from Chrysemys picta bellii (western painted turtle), 2122 nucleotides. RefSeq lists it as uncharacterized. The record is from RefSeq and is a predicted model, not a curated record. Lineage: Eukaryota; Metazoa; Chordata; Testudines; Emydidae.
GAAAAAAUACAAUACUACAGGGUACCAGGUCAUGCCACCAAAGUAAAUACCCACAGCAGACAAGCUUAGAACUUGACCCACUCCACGGUGAGUGUUUAGUUGGUGUAAACGCUUGGGGGCAGCUCAAGGACUUGUCCCAUCAGCAGUCACCAGCACAGAUGUGUUGAAAAGAAUACAAUGGAGAUAAAAGCAGAGCAGAGAAGAGGAAAACAAGUAGCUUCUAAACUGUGGGAUGAAGGAAAGAGGCAGUAAUGCCAUGUUGUUCUCUCUUCAUGAGACCAUCUUGCCAUCCUGCAAAGGUUCCACACCACGGGGCCAGGAACCAUCACCAGUGUGGUUCUUCAUAACUGGACAAUGUCAUUCCAAUGUCAACAAAGUGCUCCUGCAAAAAGUGUCCCCAGGAGCCUGCACUGAACUUAGUGUACAGGGAUGUGCGCACUUGCUGAGAGCAAAGAUGAGUGGACUGGGGAAUCUAUAUGUUUGAAUAAAAAUGCUCUCUCCUAGCCCUAACCAAUUAUUUCAUCUCUUGUUUCUACAGUCUUGGUCCAGUUCCAGGAAAGGGACUGCUUUCUGUGGCCAGGACGCCCUCUUCUGUUGAUGGUCAGUUUCAUUGUUUCAGUGCUUGUCAAGGGAGGUCAUAGUCACAGAGAGAGAAAGAUUUCUCUUCAAAGUCAUCUGAAGCAUCUGGUGCUGUCCAUUGUCACAGACAAAUUACUGGAGGAGAUGAAGCACUAUUCUGAGCUGAAUUUCUGAUGGAACUGGAGAUUUUGACUAGCUGAUUUGGGAUUCCUAGGGAUUUUAUGGACUUCCUGCGUGAACCAAAACCUGUCCAUUGGGGAUGCAUCUCUGUAUCACAGCUGGUGUUUCUGAACCUUCGUCUGGAGUAGAAAUUCAUCCCUGAUUUUUUUGGCUGGAUUGACUGUUUAGUCUAGGAACUCUCAAGUACACUUUGUAGGUGCUGGAAUUCCUCAUUCUCUUCAGUCAGCAGCUGAUGUGGUAUGGUGUACAUCAGGGUAUAUAUUCUGGAGUGAGCAAAGAUUUAUGCUCUUCCUAACUCCCAUUGAUGCUAAUGAGUAUUACAGACAUGUGUCCCGUGGAGCAAGAUGAGAACAUACCCCAGACUGUGUGUGGAGUUUGCCAUUAGGGCAUCCACACUGCUAAAAACAAUACAGAGAUCCCAAGGGUAGGAAAGUAAUUGGACCUCUACCCUUUUUUCUAACAACGCGAAUGUAAGAGAUACAUUUUAAAGUCUCUCUCAUUUCUCUCCCUCUCCUACCAGCACCUGUAUUAAUUUUUGGUUAUGAGUGACCUCACAGAAGAAUUGAUUUCCAUUUUUGAAGAUGUUUCCAAAGACUGACAACUCUUAUGGCAGCUUUGGAUACAGAAGAAAAAGCAGAUGUGGCAAAGAAUAAGUCAUAAUAAGAAACUGUCAUCCUUUAGAGCAGGGGUUCUCAAAUUGGGGGUCGGGACCCCUCAGGGGGUCGUGAGGUGAUUACAUGGGGGGGUCACGAGCUGUCAGCCUCCACCCCAAACCCCGCUUUGCCUCCAGCGUUUAUAAUGAUGUUAAAUAUAUUUAAAAGUGUUUUUAAUUUAUAAGGGGGGGGGUCACACUUUGAGGCUUGCUAUGUGAAAGGGGUCACCAGUAAAAAAGUUUAAGAGCCAUUGCUUUAGAGGAUCUAAAAAGUACACUAAAAUGUUGCACCCUGGAGAAUCCAGUAUGCCAAUAUAUGUGCUACAGUAAUUACACCAAUCUUGAAGAUCAAUAUUAUUCCCCAUCCCCAGCCGCAUCCAGUUUCUCAGGGGAAUUGAAGCUUAUGGGGAUAUAUACAGUUUAAAGCCCUGAUCCUACAAACUUUUACACAUGAGCUUAAUGCUAAGCCCCUGAAUGGUCACACUGAUUUCAACAGCACCGUUCGCAUGUAUUUGCACAAGUGUUUGCAUGAUCAAAGCUUAAGACUAGUCAAUGCAAAGAUUGUUUUCAGAGGGAGCCUGUAAAAUCUACUUUUGCAUAUAAGUUAAUAUUUUAUUGUCAUUCUGUAAUGUUGUGCAGUGGCUUUGUGAAACAGUCUAAUAUUUUAUACACUAUAAAAUGUUUCUGAUAGUAUUUUCCAUUUCUAACUCU